Non-coding RNA from Cyclobacterium marinum DSM 745, 120 nucleotides. The record is from Rfam. NCBI's taxonomy places the organism in Bacteria, Pseudomonadati, Bacteroidota, Cytophagia, Cytophagales, Cyclobacteriaceae.
CAGUAGGUGUAAAUCCUACCAGGGCAAUUGACUGUUCACCCUGAAGAAAAGCGGACAGUAAAUUUCGUGAGGAGUUCGCUGAAGCUCCGUUCUUUUUCAAAUACUCAAGCCGCAAUGCGC